UACGAAGGGGGCUAGCGUUGCUCGGAAUCACUGGGCGUAAAGCGCACGUAGGCGGAUCUUUAAGUCAGGGGUGAAAUCCUGGAGCUCAACUCCAAAACUGCCUUUGAUACUGGGGAUCUCGAGUCCGGGAGAGGUGAGUGGAACUGCGAGUGUAGAGGUGAAAUUCGUAGAUAUUCGCAAGAACACCAGUGGCGAAGGCGGCUCACUGGCCCGGUACUGACGCUGAGGUGCGAAAGCGUGGGGAGCAAACAGG
This 253-nucleotide ribosomal RNA is filed under the name uncultured bacterium. Its description in RNAcentral is "partial 16S ribosomal RNA". It matches the Rfam family "Bacterial small subunit ribosomal RNA", at positions 524 to 776 of the family's 1533-position model. The record is from RNAcentral.